UGGAAUAAUUUUUAGGUGAGCGAC
This 24-nucleotide non-coding RNA is filed under the name Arabidopsis thaliana (thale cress). Lineage: Eukaryota; Viridiplantae; Streptophyta; Magnoliopsida; Brassicales; Brassicaceae. The record is from RNAcentral.